CAGCCGCCACGGUAAUACGAAGGGGGCUAGCGUUGUUCGGAUUUACUGGGCGUAAAGGGCGCGUAGGCGGGCGAAUAAGUCAGGGGUGAAAUCCCAAGGCUCAACCUUGGAACUGCCUUUGAUACUGUUUGUCUUGAGUUCGAGAGAGGUAAGUGGAACUGCGAGUGUAGAGGUGAAAUUCGUAGAUAUUCGCAAGAACACCAGUGGCGAAGGCGGCUUACUGGCUCGAAACUGACGCUGAGGCGCGAAAGCGUGGGGAGCAAACAGGAUUAGAUACCCCGGUAGUCCCUGUCUCUUAUAA
This 301-nucleotide ribosomal RNA is filed under the name uncultured bacterium. RNAcentral's name for it is "partial 16S ribosomal RNA". It matches the Rfam family "Bacterial small subunit ribosomal RNA", at positions 509 to 809 of the family's 1533-position model. The record is from RNAcentral.